GACGAACGCUGGCGGCGUGCCUAAUACAUGCAAGUAGAACGCUGAAGGAGGAGCUUGCUUCUCCGGAUGAGUUGCGAACGGGUGAGUAACGCGUAGGUAGCCUGCCUGGUAGCGGGGGAUAACUAUUGGAAACGAUAGCUAAUACCGCAUAAGAGUAGAUGUUGCAUGACAUUUGCUUAAAAGGUGCAAUUGCAUCACUACCAGAUGGACCUGCGUUGUAUUAGCUAGUUGGUGGGGUAACGGCUCACCAAGGCGACGAUACAUAGCCGACCUGAGAGGGUGAUCGGCCACACUGGGACUGAGACACGGCCCAGACUCCUACGGGAGGCAGCAGUAGGGAAUCUUCGGCAAUGGACGGAAGUCUGGCCGAGCAACGCCGCGUGAGUGAAGAAGGUUUUCGGAUCGUAAAGCUCUGUUGUAAGAGAAGAACGAGUGUGAGAGUGGAAAGUUCACACUG
RNAcentral lists this ribosomal RNA (457 nucleotides) under Streptococcus mitis. RNAcentral describes it as "bacterial SSU rRNA". It matches the Rfam family "Bacterial small subunit ribosomal RNA", at positions 28 to 471 of the family's 1533-position model. The record is from RNAcentral. Lineage: Bacteria; Bacillati; Bacillota; Bacilli; Lactobacillales; Streptococcaceae.